RNAcentral lists this ribosomal RNA (253 nucleotides) under uncultured bacterium. RNAcentral's name for it is "partial 16S ribosomal RNA". It matches the Rfam family "Bacterial small subunit ribosomal RNA", at positions 524 to 776 of the family's 1533-position model. The record is from RNAcentral.
UACGUAGGGUGCAAGCGUUAAUCGGAAUUACUGGGCGUAAAGGGUGCGUAGGCUGCGCGGUAAGUCAGAGGUGAAAUCCCGGAGCUCAACUUCGGAAUUGCCUCCGAUACUGCCGUGCUUGAGGACUGGAGAGGAGACUGGAAUUUACGGUGUAGCGGUGAAAUGCGUAGAUAUCGUAAGGAAGACCAGUGGCGAAGGCGGGUCUCUGGACAGUUCCUGACGCUGAGGCACGAAGGUCAGGGGAGCAAACGGG